AUGAAUACAGUAAGAACUUUGAUAUCUUGUGCAGCUAAUCUUGGAUGGAAUUUGUUUCAGAUGGAUGUAAAAAAUGCAUUCUUACAUGGAGACCUUCAGGAGGAAAUUUAUAUGCAUAUACCACCAGGUUUCAACACGGUACAAACUAAAGGAAAGGUCUUGAAACUCCGCCGUUCACUGUAUGGCCUAAAACAAUCUCCUCGUGCGUGGUUUGGUCGGUUUAGAAAAGCUAUGCUGAAAUUGGGUUUCAGCCAGAGCAAUGCCGACCAUACUUUAUUUUAUAAAAGAUGUGGUGGAAAAUUGACGAUAUUAAUUGUCUAUGUUGAUGAUAUUGUUAUUACAGGAGAUGAUGAUCAAGGUAUUGAAAGAGUGAAGCAACAUUUGAGGAACGAGUUCGAAGUCAAGGAUCUAGGAGAAAUGAGGUACUUUCUUGGAAUUGAAGUCUCACGAAGCUCAAGAGGUAUCUAUCUAUCUCAAAGAAAAUAUGUGCUAGAUCUCUUGUCAGAAACUGGUAUGUCUGGGUGUCGUCCAGCAUUAACACCAAUUGAACAAAACCACCGAUUGACUAGUGAGUCAGGGGAACCUGUUGACCGGGAACAAUAUCAGAGACUUGUUGGCCGUUUGAUCUAUUUAUCGCAUACUCGUCCUGAUAUAGCUUUUGUCGUAAGCGUGGUGAGCCAGUUUAUGCAUAGUCCUAAAACUCACCACAUGGAUGCAGUAAAUCGAAUCAUUUGGUAUUUAAAGGGGUGCCCAGGUCGAGGUUUUUGUAUAAGUCAAGUGGCAAUUUACAAAUAG
RNAcentral lists this ribosomal RNA (795 nucleotides) under Triticum aestivum (bread wheat). RNAcentral describes it as "partial small subunit ribosomal RNA". Lineage: Eukaryota; Viridiplantae; Streptophyta; Magnoliopsida; Poales; Poaceae. The record is from RNAcentral.